ACCCGCUGAAUUUAAGCAUAUCAAUAAGCGGAGGAAAAGAAACCAACAGGGAUUGCCCCAGUAACGGCGAGUGAAGCGGCAAGAGCUCAAAUUUGAAAGCUGGCUCCUUCGGGGUCCGCAUUGUAAUUUGUAGAGGAUGCUUCGGGAGCGGUCCCCAUCUAAGUGCCCUGGAACGGGACGUCAUAGAGGGUGAGAAUCCCGUAUGGGAUGGGGUGUCCGCGCCCGUGUGAAGCUCCUUCGACGAGUCGAGUUGUUUGGGAAUGCAGCUCUAAAUGGGUGGUAAAUUUCAUCUAAAGCUAAAUAUUGGCCGGAGACCGAUAGCGCACAAGUAGAGUGAUCGAAAGAUGAAAAGCACUUUGAAAAGAGAGUUAAAAAGCACGUGAAAUUGUUGAAAGGGAAGCGCUUGCGACCAGACUCGCUCGCGGGGUUCAGCCGGCAUUCGUGCCGGUGUACUUCCCCGCGGGCGGGCCAGCGUCGGUUUGGGCGGUCGGUCAAAGGCCCUCGGAAGGUAACGCCCCUAGGGGCGUCUUAUAGCCGAGGGUGCAAUGCGACCUGCCUAGACCGAGGAACGCGCUUCGGCUCGGACGCUGGCAUAAUGGUCGUAAACGACCCGUCUUGAAA
This 621-nucleotide ribosomal RNA is filed under the name Penicillium chrysogenum. RNAcentral describes it as "partial large subunit ribosomal RNA". It matches the Rfam family "Eukaryotic large subunit ribosomal RNA", at positions 23 to 659 of the family's 3401-position model. Lineage: Eukaryota; Fungi; Ascomycota; Eurotiomycetes; Eurotiales; Aspergillaceae. The record is from RNAcentral.